Molecule: ribosomal RNA, 1001 nt
Filed under: uncultured Bacteroidota bacterium
Lineage: Bacteria; Pseudomonadati; Bacteroidota
Description: bacterial SSU rRNA
Rfam family: Bacterial small subunit ribosomal RNA
Source: RNAcentral
GAGUUUGAUUAUGGCUCAGGAUGAACGCUAGCGGCAGGCCUCAUACAUGCAAGUCGAGGGGCAGCAGGACACUUCGGUGUUGCUGGCGACCGGCGCACGGGUGCGUAACACGUAUGCAAUCUGCCUUGUACUGGAGCAUAGCCCUCGGAAACGAAGAUUAAUACUCCAUACAGUCUUACUAGCGCCUGCUAGUAAGAUGAAAGCUCCGGCGGUACAAGAUGAGCAUGCAUCCCAUUAGCUUGUUGGUGAGAUAACAGCUCACCAAGGCUACGAUGGGUAGGGGUUCUGAGAGGAAGAUCCCCCACACUGGCACUGAGAUACGGGCCAGACUCCUACGGGAGGCAGCAGUAGGGAAUAUUGGUCAAUGGCGCAAGCCUGAACCAGCCAUGCCGCGUGCAGGAUGAAGGCCUUCAGGGUUGUAAACUGCUUUUGUAUGGGAAUAAAAAAGUCCUUGCGAGGACUCUUGAAGGUACCAUAAGAAUAAGCACCGGCUAACUCCGUGCCAGCAGCCGCGGUAAUACGGAGGGUGCAAGCGUUAUCCGGAUUUACUGGGUUUAAAGAGUGCGUAGGCGGCUUCUUAAGUCAGUGGUGAAAGCUUAGCGCUUAACGCUAGAAGUGCCACUGAUACUGGGAAGCUUGAGUCAAGAAGAGGUAAGCAGAAUUCAUAGUGUAGCAGUGAAAUGCUUAGAUACUAUGAGGAAUACCAACAGCGAAGGCAGCUUACUGGUCUUGUACUGACGUUGAGGCACGAAAGCGUGGGUAGCGAACAGGAUUAGAUACCCUGGUAGUCCACGCCGUAAACGAUGAUCACUCGAUGUACACGCUAGUCGUGUGUGUCUAAGCAAAAGCAUUAAGUGAUCCACCUGGGGAGUACGCUCGCAAGAGUGAAACUCAAAGGAAUUGACGGGAGUCCGCACAAGCGGUGGAGCAUGUGGUUUAAUUCGAUAAUACGCGAGGAACCUUACCUGGGCUCGAAUGUCUCUGCUACCUCGAGAAAUCGA